Long non-coding RNA from Zalophus californianus (California sea lion), 1624 nucleotides. RefSeq lists it as uncharacterized. The record is from RefSeq and is a predicted model, not a curated record. The transcript has 3 exons. Lineage: Eukaryota; Metazoa; Chordata; Mammalia; Carnivora; Otariidae.
AGAGAGAGAGAGAGAGACAGAACCAUCAAUGUCUCUGCCAGAAAGCUGCCCAUGGACCCACGGUCAAGUCCCUCACUGCCUAGCUGCAUGACCUUCGGUGAACCUUAAACUCUGUGAGCCUCAUUUUCCCCAUUGGGCCAACAGAAAAUGCACGCUCUGGGUACUUGUAAAAGUGUCACGCAAACUGCCUUCAAGUAGGAGUGGCUCGCGGGUCGGCUGUGGGAGGCGCGCCAAUGUUCUUCCAGUCUGCGUUGUCACGGGGUGCAUCUCUUACGAACUGAUCACGCUCUGCCUUACCUGGGUGUGUGGAAGUUUCGUGUACGUUACCUGGGUAAUAGACGCCUCCGGGAACUCCACCAGGAACAGCCCCCGGGACCCCUGGAAAUAAGUGCACCUGUUUAGAAAGGACAGAGCCGUCAGCCCCGCAGGACUCUGAGCAUCUUACUGCUUUGCCUGGAAACCCUCAAUUGUCUUCCAGAUAAAGUCCGGACUUCUGAGUAUGGCCUUCAAGGCCCUCUAUGACACAGUUCAACGGCUCUGACACUCUCCUUCCUUUUGGCUGGCCUCCCUUCUGGCUGGUGGAGCUGCUCCCUAGCUCCCAGACUUGUCCUGGAGGGCUGGACAUUGGCAAGGCUCCCUAGUCUCAGCUUCUGUCCCUGCAGGUCUGUGCCCUCGGCAUCCCUGCCUCCAGCCCCUCUGAGGGGCGUUGGUGAGAGCCUUUGUGGCUGGGCUUGGCGCUUCAUCUUAGGCCCCUCUGGCCGGGCCAUCACUGAGGGUACUUUGAAGAUGGACCCAUUUCUGUCUCCCGUGUCGUCCAAGAGUGUUGGAUAAUAGCACAGUUGUGCCCUCUGGGAGCUGGGGGGCAGAAGCUGCUGAUGUGAACCGAUCCCCGGAAGUCUGGGUGUGGUUUCUGUUUCCCCCCUGUCUACACAUGGUCCUUUUGUCUGUCCGGUACUGGAUGUGGCUGUCUGCGUGGGACCUGGAACCAGAGAGAGAGAAAGAGAGAGACAAGCAUUUGCGUUAGGGCUGGCCUGGGAAGAGCUUGGUGUCCAUCGGACCUGGGACCCAUGCUGUGCUCCCUCCCAGCGCAUGGGGCCGUCUGCUUUCAGCCAUCUCCACCUCCGUGUGAGUAAGGGUCCUUUCAGCCAGUCCCGUAGGAAAUAAAGUCAAGGUUACACUGUUAGGGAGAGCAUGAAUUUUUCAGAUGGACCCAGCUGAGGUUUGGGAAGGAACGGAAUGUCGGUCGGGAGCGUGGGUCCAAGUGUAGACACUUCUGGAGGGUAUCAGCAGCAGGGCCAAGUGAAGGACCCCUUCUCCCGACCCGACCCACCCUCGCUCAUCGGAGAGACCCAGCUGCAGACAUGAAGGCCAGAACCUGCCACUCUUCUGAUUUUAAAUUUUCCAAUAGCCUCACAAAAUAAAGAAAAUGUAAGUAAAAUUAAUUCUGAUCAUAUGCUCUAUUUAACUGACUAUACCUAAAAUAUCAUCUGAACGUGUAAUUGAUAUAAAAGUUAUGGAGAUGUUCUACAUUUCUUUUAUUGUACCGAGUCUUAAAAUUGGCAUGGGCAACAAAUAUCAUAUGACCCAGCAAUACCACCUCUGGAUAUUGAUCUGAAGGAAACAA